Molecule: ribosomal RNA, 253 nt
Filed under: uncultured bacterium
Lineage: Bacteria
Description: partial 16S ribosomal RNA
Rfam family: Bacterial small subunit ribosomal RNA
Source: RNAcentral
UACGGGGGGAGCAAGCGUUGUUCGGAUUUACUGGGCGUAAAGGGCGCGUAGGCGGCGCAACAAGUCACUUGUGAAAUCUCCGGGCUUAACCCGGAGCGGCCAAGUGAUACUGUCGUGCUAGAGUGCGGAGGGGGCUACUGGAAUUCUCGGUGUAGCGGUGAAAUGCGUAGAUAUCGAGAGGAACACCUGCGGCGAAGGCGGCCUGCUGGGCUCUUGCUGACACUGAGGCGCGACAGCGUGGGGAGCAAACAGG